CCUAGCAGCACAUCCUCUUUCCUGUGUCAAGGAGCAUCGUCCAGGGAGGUGAGAAGAAGGCAGUCCUCCCUAGAAUUGAAGAACCAGAUGGGCUGGGCAGAUCAAGCACAGCCCUGAGAUCCAACUGUCCCUCCUAUGCGCCUGGGUUUCUUCACUGGACACCAGCGUGAGUCAACUUUCCUAUAAAGCAGAACAAGCACAAGAUUGGACCAUGUUAGAGGAGGAAUGGUGUCAUCUCCACUUCUGGAGAGAUCCCUGUCCCCAUGUUUGGGGGAAGGACCAAGCCUCACUCCCAUGCAGAGAGGAAGCUCUGGCUGUAACUGCACCUGUGGAGAGGUGAGGCCCUGCCCCCUCUACACUGAUGACCAGAGCCUGCAGAGUGGGGCCAAGCUUUCCCUCAGCUGUGUCCUGUCAGGUUCAUCCAGGCCUCAAAGAAUAGACUCUGGACAUUGCCUCUGGCAACGUGAGCUGGACACACACCCAGAUGUAAGGUAGCCCUGCCAAGUAUCUUGGGGUUGCCAGUAGUUCUGGGUGCUCAGUGU
Molecule: small RNA, 542 nt
Filed under: Pongo abelii (Sumatran orangutan)
Lineage: Eukaryota; Metazoa; Chordata; Mammalia; Primates; Hominidae
Description: processed transcript
Source: RNAcentral